UUCUGUUUAGCCCAAAGCCACGCCUUCCUUUGAUACAAACUGCAGAAGCGCGAUACAGCAGUCAAGAUUCGCACGUUGUAAUGAAAACCUGAUUGCUUCCCUUCUCUUAAAGUUACUCGGCCUGGAGUGCACCUCAAUCAAAAGGAAAGGCGUUCGACGACAUUCUACUCGCGAUUGACUUCUUGGCUUACCCAAGAAGGGCCCGUAACGCCCGAGUCCGCCUUCGGAUUCACUCACUUUAGCUAAGGCAUCAAACAAGCCACCACGGAGAAUGUCUAACGUGUCUGUACGGGCGAUGAACCUGGUUUGGACAGCAAAGCUGUUAUCUUUAUUUCUUCGGAAAGAGACGAUAGUAAUCAGAAGAAUAGAAGCUGCUACAAGUGUGAAAGCUUUUGCAUUUCGUCGAAGUUUGAACGCCAUGUUUGGCUCGCGAAUUUCUUUGACGAAAAUGUUCGAUUGGUACAUGUGAAGCGAUACAUGGCGAGGGACUUUAAAUAUUUUUUAAACUAUUAUAAUGCAAAUUUUUGAAGACAAAUAGUAUUGAAAAGUUUUUUUUUUAAUCUUCCAAGCUAUAAUGCGUUACGUGGACAUUGUCUGUUGUUUCAAUUGUGGUAUGAAUUAUGCUGCUGGCAGUGAUUUUAGCCUGAUUUUAUACCAAUUUGUUUUUGUACAAAUGUCAAGGGUUGAGAAAGUUUAAACACGUGAAGUCUGUAAACCAAGGACAGGGGUUUACGUCGAGGAUAAUAUUUCAAUAACUGCCAAAUCGAGAAGCGAUGUUAGGGACUUUAAGAUGCGACAACAGCUACGGCUAGGAUGGAUGACCGAGAUAACACUUUACAGUGAGGACACAGAAAACGGGCCAUGCUGAACAGCUUUGACCAAUCAGAAUCGGCUUCACCAUAAACAUUAAAGUUCAGCCAAUGUGAAACGGCGGACGUUGUUUAUUUGACCUCGUACGUGUAGUCGACCAUUUUUGUCCGUCGAUUGAGCGUGGAAACACCCUAACCUGAUUGGCUAGAAAUUAUUUUUCGAAAUGUUUACGGUGUUUAAGCCGAAUAUGAUUGGUCAAAGUCGUUCAGCAUGGCCCGCUUUCUGUGUCCUCACUGUAACGCUUGGCGACAAAUUCAACAAUAGUUUCGAUGAAAUUACCUAGACUUUAUAUUCAGAAACAAACUGAAAUUUACCGUAAACUUUAUUUCUAGAAUAAGAAACAGAGACAGGUGAAUAUAUACUCCACCCGGCCACGUACUCGCCAGACCGUAAAACUUGAAAUUUCACGUCGUGUUUUGGCGGAGAACGGUUGGAAAUCUAUCAGACAGAACGCAUUUUCACGUGCAGCCUUUCAAUUCUCAAUUUAAAUACAUUGUUUUCUACCGUCA
Molecule: long non-coding RNA, 1379 nt
Organism: Nematostella vectensis (starlet sea anemone)
Lineage: Eukaryota; Metazoa; Cnidaria; Anthozoa; Actiniaria; Edwardsiidae
Exons: 2
Source: RefSeq, a predicted model, not a curated record